AGCCCGCAGCAGCUGAGUGUUUAUCGCGGCUUCCUGACCUCUGCUGCUGCGCUUCUCCAGCUUGAGGGCCCGGUGCUUCCUCCCACCUGCUGCCAGGUGUCCCCUUAGGGCUUUCUGCGUCUGCCCCACAUCUCGGAGACCUACCCGGGAUGAUAUUGCACAAGUUGAGGUUGUUGCUUGGGGACUAACUCACUGCUAAACGACGUCCAUAAAUCCCUCGGGGUUGCUGCAGACAGGCCACCCUGGCUGGCAGUGGAACGGCCCAUCGUGGCAGGGUAUGGAACAUGCCCAGGAUCCAAACCAAUGAAACCCUGGGCAGGGGAAGCAGAGCGCGUGAACUUAACCACUUGGCCACAGGGCCAGCCCUGAGCCUAGAAGGUUUUUAUGGAUUUAAGUACCUGAGUAACCGGCACCCAGAUCUAGAUAAACAUAAGACUGGAGUUGAAGGGGGGUGGAGAGGAAAGUGACGGAAAAGAAAAACCGCAACCAGAUGGAUUCGCAAGGCUUCAUCUUAGCAUUAUACUGGGGCGGGACCAGUGCUGCUUCUGGGUCCUUCUGGGGCUGUGGCCAUGAGUCUCAGCAGUAGUGAAAGUAGACUCGACCCUAGCUGUAUGGGCACCAUUCUGAAGACAGAACCAGUUGGGGUCAAUCUGCCCUGGGAGGGAGCCAUGGCCCUUUCCACUCCCAUGGGGUCUUUCGGGCAAAAGGCAACCGACACAGGCAGCUGCUUCUACUUUUCAAAAGUUGCAAUUCAUUAGUCUAGUGUUAACCUCCUUUAAAUCUAAAAACCAAAAUCUUCAAAAAAUAGAGUCUUGUAUUUUAGAAUGUGAAAUGAAAGAGAGCAGUCACGUCUGACCCAUCCCUCUCACGUUUAGGAUUCUUUGUUAGUGUGUCCGUCAACUCGCGUUCACCCUGCUCCUUUCGAGGUCAGAGGCUUGCAGCUUUGCGAGCAGCCCUCUCCAUCACUGGACAGCUCUCGCAGGGAAAGAGCACGUCCUCACGCUGAGCCAGGGUCUGCCACCUGGGGCCUUCCUCCCAGGGCUUCUGGAGCAUGUCACAUGAAGUCCCACCCCUCCUCCACAGGAGAGCGCUUCAAGUGUCUGAAGACUGUAAUUUCAUCUUCUCUGAGUGUCCUGUUAUUCAGAACAAGCAUUUCAAAGGCUCUCAACUAUUCUUCAAAUUACACGGUUGCUGCACCGUCACUUUCUGCUU
Molecule: long non-coding RNA, 1212 nt
Filed under: Equus caballus (horse)
Lineage: Eukaryota; Metazoa; Chordata; Mammalia; Perissodactyla; Equidae
Description: lncRNA (ENSECAG00000037906.3)
Source: RNAcentral